AUUCUGGUUGAUCCUGCCAGUAGUUAUAUGCUUGUCUCAAAGAUUAAGCCAUGCAUGUCUAAGUACACACGAAUUAAAAGUGAAACCGCAAAAGGCUCAUUAUAUCAGUUAUGGUUCCUUAGAUCGUUAACAGUUACUUGGAUAACUGUGGUAAUUCUAGAGCUAAUACAUGCAAUUAAAACACGGACCUUCUGGGACGUGUGCUUUUAUUAGACUAAAACCAAGCGAUCAAUUGAUCGUUAUAUUGGUUGAACUCUAGAUAACAUGCAGAUCGUAUGGUCUUGUACCGACGACAGAUCUUUCAAAUGUCUGCCCUAUCAACUUUUGAUGGUAGUAUCUAGGACUACCAUGGUUGCAACGGGUAACGGG
Molecule: ribosomal RNA, 369 nt
Organism: Drosophila willistoni
Lineage: Eukaryota; Metazoa; Arthropoda; Insecta; Diptera; Drosophilidae
Rfam family: Eukaryotic small subunit ribosomal RNA
Source: Rfam